UUGGAGGGCAAGUCUGGUGCCAGCAGCCGCGGUAAUUCCAGCUCCAAUAGCGUAUAUUAACGUUGUUGCAGUUAAAAAGCUCGUAGUUGAAGUGAGGGAGUGUGUAGUAGGACCGACUUGAUCGGAACUGCUGCAACCUCCCCCCUCCAAUCGGUGUAGUGGGGUAUUCAGUUAUUCUACUACUCCUUUGGUCGUUUACUGUGAGAAAAUUAGAGUGUUCAAAGCGGGCGUUUGUUUGAAUAGAUUAGCAUGGAAUAAUGAUUGAAGGCUUUCGUGUUCGAUUUGAUUGGUUUGUUCAUGGAAGCAAGGUUAAAAGGAACAGUUGGGGGUAUUCAUAUUCACUAGUUAGAGGUGAAAUUCUCGGAUUUAUGGAAGAUGAACAAGUG
Molecule: ribosomal RNA, 386 nt
Filed under: Blastocystis sp.
Lineage: Eukaryota; Bigyra; Opalinata; Blastocystidae
Description: SSU rRNA
Rfam family: Eukaryotic small subunit ribosomal RNA
Source: RNAcentral